CUCUCUGGGCAACCUGUGCCAGUGCCUCACCACCCUAAUUGUAAGGGCUUUGUUCCCCUGAUGUUUGAAAAGGACAAUUUAAGGCUACGCCUGUAUCAGCAACACGCUCUCAAAGUCAUUACAACGUUCCUGUGGCCGAUCGAAUUGAGGAGCAGCGGAUGGCGCAGGUCACACCCUCAAGCAGUCUCUGUGCUGUUUCAAUAGCUCUGCACAAGGCCCAGUAAACCUGCCGUCCCAGGAGGCUGAGACCCACACCUCUGAGAUAAGUGCCCCCCGGGGACCCUCAGAGCAGAAGGGCGCGUUGAGCUCUGCUGCACCCAGCGCAAUGGCCCCUGAAAUGGUGCCAGCUGUUGAGCUGGGCCUUUGCCUGCUCCAACUGACUCAGCUGGAAGCAGGCUGGCACCGAGCCGCGCCGGGAGCAAGGCACCGCCGUCAGCACAAAGCGAGUCCACGCACACGGCUUUGUAGCACGCCAUUUAUUAUUUCCAUCAUUAUUACACCGAGGCGUCAAACAAGAUGCUGGAGAUUAAACAGCAACAGUUAGCACACUAUUGGGUAUGCUGUGGUGGCCCACAGCAGGCAGACCGCUCGGGCCUGGAAGACACUGCAGCCUGCCUCCCAGUGCAAUGAAAUCCUCACCUGUCCAUCUCCUGAUCAGAGCUCUCAGUUGCUAGAAAUAGUGUGGCCCUGCUCUGCUGCCUACUUUCCUUUAUUGUUUUUUUUCCCUCUGGCAGGUUUGCAAGGGUCAGUGGUUAGCAGCUCUAUUCAUUCCUCUACCAGAAGACACAUCAUGGAUGCCAUCAGAAACGCCACCCGGGCACUGCUCGCUGCACUCAGGCUUUGAAAGCCUUGCAGCCAAACCCACAGUGGCAUGCUGGUGGAGAGACUCAGUGAGCCCGUAACUGCACAGAAGCACCAAGGACAUCCUUCAGCAGCCCCCACAAAGCAAGAGCUCGCUAUCAAGUCACUAACGUGCAUCAGCAUAUUGUCCGCCAAGGGGAGUGUCCAAGGGGCUCUUCCAUGGCCCUUCUGUCUGUGGAUUUAAAGAAAGAAAGAACCUUCUAAUUAAAUACAUCUACUCUCACUUCAAAAACCCACCCCCAUUACUGGGAGGUUCAGCACCGGUUCUCCUGAGGAUAUGGGAGCAAUUUACACCAGCCAACAAACCCUCUCCUAUGCUCUGUUCUGUCCUUUGCAGAGCAGAGGUAACCACAUCCACCUGAACAGAGGCGGGGGAGCUUAAUUAACUAAUAGUUACACAAUGCUUUCACAGGGAAAUCUUGUGUUUACAGCUUCGUUUUGUAAUAAACAGUGUCAGUG
Molecule: long non-coding RNA, 1320 nt
Filed under: Gallus gallus (chicken)
Lineage: Eukaryota; Metazoa; Chordata; Aves; Galliformes; Phasianidae
Description: lncRNA (ENSGALG00010003926.1)
Source: RNAcentral